RNAcentral lists this non-coding RNA (22 nucleotides) under Arabidopsis thaliana (thale cress). Lineage: Eukaryota; Viridiplantae; Streptophyta; Magnoliopsida; Brassicales; Brassicaceae. The record is from RNAcentral.
UGAAUUGUUCAACCAAUGUCAC